This 205-nucleotide ribosomal RNA is filed under the name uncultured bacterium. RNAcentral describes it as "partial 16S ribosomal RNA". It matches the Rfam family "Bacterial small subunit ribosomal RNA", at positions 337 to 556 of the family's 1533-position model. The record is from RNAcentral.
UCCUACGGGAGGCAGCAGUGGGGAAUAUUGGGCAAUGGGCGAAAGCCUGACCCAGCAACGCCGCGUGAAGGAAGAAGGUCUUCGGAUUGUAAACUUCUUUUAUCAGGGACGAAGGAAGUGACGGUACCUGAUGAAUAAGCCACGGCUAACUACGUGCCAGCAGCCGCGGUAAUACGUAGGUGGCAAGCGUUAUCCGGAUUUACUG